GACGAACGCUGGCGGCGUGCUUAACACAUGCAAGUCGAACGGAAAGGCCCUGCUUUUGUGGGGUGCUCGAGUGGCGAACGGGUGAGUAACACGGGAGUAACCUGCCCUUGAGGUUGGGAUAACUUCAGGAAACUGGGGCUAAUACCGGAGAGGAGCUCCUGCUGCAGGGGGGGGGUUGGAAAGUUUCGGCGGUUGGGGAUGGACUCGCGGCUUAUCAGCUUGUUGGUGGGGUAGUGGCUUACCAAGGCUUUGGCGGGUAGCCGGCGUGAGAGGGUGACCGGCCACAUUGGGACUGAGAUACGGCCCAGACUCCUACGGGAGGCAGCAGUGGGGAAUAUUGCACAAUGGGCGGAAGCCUGAUGCAGCAACGCCGCGUGCGGGAUGACGGCCUUCGGGUUGUAAACCGCUUUCGCCUGUGACGAAGCGUGAGUGACGGUAAUGGGUAAAGAAGCACCGGCUAACUACGUG
This 468-nucleotide ribosomal RNA is filed under the name uncultured bacterium. RNAcentral describes it as "partial 16S ribosomal RNA". It matches the Rfam family "Bacterial small subunit ribosomal RNA", at positions 28 to 507 of the family's 1533-position model. The record is from RNAcentral.